GACGGACGCUGGCGGCGUGCCUAAUACAUGCAAGUCGAGCGGACGGAUGGGAGCUUGCUCCCAGCCCGUCAGCGGCGGACGGGUGCGUAACACGUGGGCAACCUGCCUGUAAGACUGGGAUAACUCCGGCAAACCGGGGCUAAUACCGGAUAACUCUUUCCCUCUCAUGAGGGACAGCUGCAAGAUGGCAUCUCGCUAUCACUUACAGCUGGGCCCGCGGCGCAUUAGCUCGUUGGUGAGGUAACGGCACCCCAAGGCGACGAUGCGUAGCCGACCUGAGAGGGAGAUCGGCCACAUUGGGACUGAGACACGGCCCAGACUCCUACGGGAGGCAGCAGUAGGGAAUCUUACGCAAUGGACGAAAGGCUGACGGAGCAACGCCGAGUGAGGGAUGAAGGUUUUCGGAUCGUAAAACUCUGUUGUCAGUGAAGAACAAGUACCGGAGUAACUGCCGGUACCUUGACGGUACCUGACCAGAAAGCCACGGCUAACUACGUG
RNAcentral lists this ribosomal RNA (498 nucleotides) under uncultured bacterium. RNAcentral's name for it is "partial 16S ribosomal RNA". It matches the Rfam family "Bacterial small subunit ribosomal RNA", at positions 28 to 507 of the family's 1533-position model. The record is from RNAcentral.